GAAGCCAGCAUUUGACACUUAAGGGAAAACUCACCCCAGGCAAAUGCAACUCCCAAAGGUAAAGAGCUGGUGGUUUUCUCGGAUUCAGGUUUGGAGCGGCGUGGAGCUGUCCCAGCCCGGCACUGCCCGUUCUGUUCUGCAAAUGGCGAGGAACUGGAAUGCUGCUAGGUUGCCACCUCCUCCUCUGGCACCUCGACUGUUCCUGUGCCAGCAGCAUGAGUUCUGCACACGAGCAGCGUGAGUCCUGGGGGGUUGAGUUGGAUCGUCCUGUCCAAUCUGCGCCCACCGGGGCGGGUGUCGGUCGGAGGAGACUGCGCUGCCCGCGGGGUCUAGUGCUGAUGCCAGAUGCCUCGUACCUGGAAGCUUUCCUGCAGCGCACGCUUGGAACGGGUGGCGCAGACUGGGCCGACCGCUGCGGUGUGAGAGGCCGGAAGCCGGAGACCUGCCCGUCUGACUUUUUUCUAGUUUUAUACUGAGACAGCCAAUUUUAUUAAUUGCUAAUGAGACUAUGGUCUAUUUUUGUAUAAAAAAAAAAGAGCAUCUUUUCUAAACCUGUGCCUCCCUUUUCCUUUUAGGCCAAGUGUUUCCAAACCUGUCCUGUCUCUCGCUGCAGUAUUACUAACGCUGGUUGGUAGCUACCCAGAUAAGUUAUUUUGUUACUGCAAUGACCUGCCGGAGGGGCUCGGAUGGGUGCUGUUCUGUUCUGUUUUGUUCCAUUUUGCCCAUUUCCAAAGAAGCUGCAGCAGUGAGUCGGGCGCCAGAGCAGGUGCCUGAGCCUGCCGUGGCAGCCAGGUUGCAUGUCCAUGGCAGUCCCUGGCGCUCGUGCUCUGUCCCUGCGGCUUUGUGUUGCAGUCUCUUCUCUCUGGUGGCAUGAAGAACUAGCCCACAAGCACAGAGGGUGCCCUCUGUACCACAGUCUAUGCCACUCUGCUCCUGCCAGCCCUGCAGUGUUUCGUUCCUUCCCUCUUCCACGUUGCUCAGAGCCGAGGGUCCUGCUCACUGCCUCAGAGCACUGGCAGGGAGGAGGAAGGAAGCUAGCUGGGGUGGUCAGAGACUCGCUUUGUUCCACUGUCCCCGGGGCCGCAAGUCCAUCAGGUGCGACAGUUCCGCAGAGAUGGAGCUCUUGCAGUGAGGUCUGUUGGCUUGUUGCCUGGGGCAGCUGCUGCUGGAGUUGUACAUAGUUUCUAAAGUGUUUGGUGUUCUGUUCCCUGCCUUGUCCAGACCUGAGCAGGAUCCUAGUGCGUCUCCACCCCGCACUCCCUCCCCCAGGAUCUGGGCGUUCCAUUGUCAGAGAUGGAUGAGUGCCGAAGAGAGCAUGUCCCGCGGCUCGAGCCAUGUUGAGCAUGCUCGCCCCAGCACGGUGGUUCUCCAGCCAUGCUCUGUGGACAGCCAGCUGGCCACUGAGCCCCUCCAGCUGGCAUCGCAAAGGCCGGACAGUGAGGGGAUCAGUGAGGAGCUGGGAGAGAGAAGGGCCCACAGUGCUCUCUGCUCCCUACAGCAGUCUGGUCCCUGCCAUUUAUUCCUCCCCCAGAUCACACCGUAGGAUAAAGUCCUAGCAAGCAUCUGAAGGCUCAAGGAACACUUGGCUCGCACCAUUCCCCUGUCCCGAGAGCCUGUGGGAGCCGCGUAGGGCAGGGGAAGGCAGGUCCGGGCAUAGGGGCCAGCUGUCUGUCCGUAGCAUUUCACAUCUCUGGGUGCUUCCAUGUGGCGAGGAGAGUUGAUUCCAAGCGAAAGCUGCGGUCCCAGCAGGGUGGGUCUGCAUAUCCCCCCCUGCACAUUAAAUCUGGCAGGCGUGGGUGGCAUUUGGGUUUUGCUGCUCCUCACUAGCACCAGCGUCAGGGGGGGGCCCCCAACAUCCCUGUCUGCGCUUGGAUCCUGCUCCUGUCAGGCCCCAAAGCCCUGCCGCCCCACCUCCACAUGGACGGCACUGGAUUUCAGAUGUGUCACUGCCUCCCUGCUCCAGGGCUCCCUCCCCCUUGUUUGCAGACGUAAGGUCUGUGCCUGGAAAGCUCCUGUGGUCCCUUGGGCAUGCCACUAGAGCUUCCCCACCAGGCUUGGUCAGCACCAGCCUUCUCUGUGGUGGCAGGAAGCCGCACCUUCCUGGUGACAGCAUGAGAUCUGUGCCAUGAGGCAGCAUCUCCUGAAGUCCCCAGAGCCUGGCUUGUGGUGGUGGCACGCAUCUGUCAGCAGAGUCGGUAUCUGUACAAACGAGCCCAGGUCCGUUUCCUCCCGCGAGCAGAAGGAACCACAGACCUCGAGUGGCCGAAGAGGCAGCCGUUCGGCCCCCGAGCUGAACAGAUUCUUCCGUGGAAACACUUCUCGUUCUGCUCCUUCAUGUUUGGAAAGGGGGGUUUGCAAUUUUUGUGGGGGGGUUGGGGUUUUUUUGGAAGGAAGGAAAUAGAGAUGGAUCUCAGUCUUUAUACACCUGCUAUAAGAUAUUUUUGCAAACAGAGUUGUAUACGGAGAUGUAUUGUGUACAUUUACAUGUAUAUUCUGGAACUUCUAAAAAUUGGAAUAUAAAACUGAAAAUAUUUAAUGAAUAUCCAAACUGUGAGACCCAAUUAGCAUUCAUCUAUUUUCUGCUUCACUUUUUUUUGGACUGUGUUAAAGAAACGUAGUCAAAUAUGCCUUUUUUUUCCUUUUUUCUUUUUUUUCUUUUUUUCCUUUUAGCUAUUAUGAAGCUAGGCAAAUUUUGUGCUUUUUGGGUUAAUAGAAACCAGUUGUAGGUGACCUAAGUCUGAUCUAACUUAUUGAUCCCGUGUUUUCCUUUGUAAUAUUGUACUGUGGAUACAACUAUAUUGAGCCAUGGAGUUGGAGUUUACAAAGAGCUUUUCACUUUGCCAAAAUGUUACGAUUUCAAGGCAGCAGCAGAGUCUUCAGCUUGCCUCGUCUUUUCUUAAAAGAGUUAGUGUCCUUUUGUACACUAAAAAGCUGAGUGCUGAUUUUGCAACAUAUAAUAAAUUCACUGUAUUGGAAAGCAA
Gavialis gangeticus (Gharial) is the source of this 2981-nucleotide long non-coding RNA. RefSeq lists it as uncharacterized. Lineage: Eukaryota; Metazoa; Chordata; Crocodylia; Gavialidae. The record is from RefSeq and is a predicted model, not a curated record. The transcript has 2 exons.